RNAcentral lists this ribosomal RNA (463 nucleotides) under uncultured bacterium. Its description in RNAcentral is "partial 16S ribosomal RNA". It matches the Rfam family "Bacterial small subunit ribosomal RNA", at positions 28 to 507 of the family's 1533-position model. The record is from RNAcentral.
GAUGAACGCUGACAGAAUGCUUAACACAUGCAAGUCUUUGGCGAAUCUGUGCUUGCACAGGCUAGCCAAGGCGGACGGGUGAGUAACGCGUAAAGAACUUGCCCUGCAGACAGGGAUAACAGACGGAAACGACUGAUAACACCUGAUACAGUUUCCGGCACGCAUGUGCCUGGCAAUGAAAAGAGAUGCUGCAGGAGAGCUUUGCGUCCUAUUAGCUUGUUGGUGAGGUGACGGCUCACCAAGGCGAUGAUAGGUAGCCGGCCUGAGAGGGUGAACGGCCACAAGGGGACUGAGAUACGGCCCUUACUACUACGGGAGGAAGCAGUGGGGAAUAUUGGACAAUGGGGGCAACACUGAUGCAGCAAUUCUGUGUGUACGAAGACGGUUUUCGGAUUGUAAAGUGCUUUCAGCAGGGAAGAAGAAAGUGACGGUACCUGCAGAAGAAGCGACGGCUAAAUACGUG